Molecule: long non-coding RNA, 632 nt
Organism: Helianthus annuus (common sunflower)
Lineage: Eukaryota; Viridiplantae; Streptophyta; Magnoliopsida; Asterales; Asteraceae
Exons: 4
Source: RefSeq, a predicted model, not a curated record
CGUUUUGACCCGAACCCGUUUUGACCCAUGACCCGACCCGACCCAACCCAUUUGCCAGGACGUUGCAUCCGACACAGGUUCGACUAUGGAGCCAUAAUCUUCCUAGAUGAGCGCUUCCGCCAAGAAAAAAUCUAACCUACAUUUCAAAGUGGAUAAGAAAAUCCAUCAGAAAGCUUGACAAUUUGACAAGUCAUUAGAGGGACUAAAGUCGUUUUUCAGAGACGUCAAGGAUGAGAAUAAUGGAAGUUCUAUGAAGCCGAUUGAUGUUACACCUAUUGAUUUUGAGGAGCCAUGGAACUGGUUCACAGAUAUGAAGAACGCUAAAUCAACUAAGCCCAACCUGAAAGCACAAAGAUCUGUGUCAGAUGAUGUCAUAGAACCAGAAUUUACAACUAAACCGAAGAAAUCUGUGGUUAUGACAAAAGGGUUUGACUGUUCGUCACCACCGCCAAUGAUUUCAUCACCUAAUGAACACAAUCAUCCUAGAUCAACUUCUGUAGUGCAACCCAGCAAAACACUUGCAACGACGCUUUCUUUGCACUACCUCAAUUACUAGCUGGGAUGAACAGACUUCUGCAGUGCAACCCAGCAAAACACUUGCAACGUGGCACUAUGUAUAAAACUAGUUUAAA